This is a long non-coding RNA of Tachysurus fulvidraco (yellow catfish), 733 nucleotides long. RefSeq lists it as uncharacterized. Lineage: Eukaryota; Metazoa; Chordata; Actinopteri; Siluriformes; Bagridae. The record is from RefSeq and is a predicted model, not a curated record. The transcript is spliced from 2 exons.
CAGGUUUAUGUUUAAUGAGCACUAGUGUUUAUGUCACAUUUUGUUUAGCACCCAUUUUAUCUUUUGUAGUCAUGUUGUAUUCCACCUAGGAGAAGUUGUGAUCAUCUUCUUGUCCUGUGUAUCACAGUUUGAUCAGUAUCUUUUGUGUUUGUGUGUUUUAAAAUGAGCUGCAGGGAUGAUAUGUAGGUGAUGCAGAUUACGGAGUCGUGACAAAAAGAGCUGCUCUUGGAUCUGUGAAGUGUGAACGGUGGCGAACAUGGAAGAGAUUCGAAAAGACUUGAAAGCAGAAAGUUGGUGCUUCAGGGAGCGAGACUGAGCAGCUUAUUUUCAUUUCUUCACUUCACGUAGCCCCUAGACAGCUGUGAGACCUUUUAAAAAAGUCGUAGGACAGAAAUGAUCUCUUCACUGUAGAGUAAAUCCUGAGAGACCAACAUGCUCUUACUUUGCUGCAGAAAGUUUUGACACUGUAAGAGGUUUUAUUAAGAAACACUGUCUAGAGAAAAUUCGAUUCCAUGAAAGAAAACCAUUUAAACACGGUUUAAACGCUAAGCUGACCAGACACUCAUCUGCUAUGCUUACAGCUCUCUUUAUUAAUUUCAAUCCAUCAAAAACGUACUCCAUGUUAUAAGCAAUGUCUGUGAGUAAGAUGCGUCUCCUCUGAUCACCUCCGUGGGGAAAAUACUUUUAUAGCUUUUAAAGAAAUGAUAAUAAAUAAAUAGUGCUUUUAACACUC